GUCCGCACCGUAAACGAUGGUCACUAGUUGUCGGGGGAUUCGACCCCCUCGGUAACGACGCUAACGCAUUAAGUGACCCACCUGGGGAGUACGCUCGCAAGGGUGAAACUCAAAGGAAUUGACGGGGGCCCGCACAAGCGGUGGAGCAUGUGGUUUAAUUCGAUGCAACGCGAAGAACCUUACCUGGGCUCGAAGUGUAGUGUAAACUCGUGAAAGCGGGGUAUCCCUUCGGGGAGCGCUAUAUAGGUGCUGCAUGGCUGUCGU
This 264-nucleotide ribosomal RNA is filed under the name uncultured bacterium. RNAcentral's name for it is "partial 16S ribosomal RNA". It matches the Rfam family "Bacterial small subunit ribosomal RNA", at positions 793 to 1055 of the family's 1533-position model. The record is from RNAcentral.